RNAcentral lists this ribosomal RNA (252 nucleotides) under uncultured Desulfobulbus sp. Its description in RNAcentral is "partial 16S ribosomal RNA". It matches the Rfam family "Bacterial small subunit ribosomal RNA", at positions 796 to 1041 of the family's 1533-position model. Lineage: Bacteria; Pseudomonadati; Thermodesulfobacteriota; Desulfobulbia; Desulfobulbales; Desulfobulbaceae. The record is from RNAcentral.
CACGCUGUAAACGAUGUGAACUAGAUGUAGGGGGUGUUGAUCCCCUCUGUGUCGGAGCUAACGCAUUAAGUUCACCGCCUGGGGAGUACGGUCGCAAGAUUAAAACUCAAAGGAAUUGACGGGGGCCCGCACAAGCGGUGGAGUAUGUGGUUUAAUUCGAUGCAACGCGAAGAACCUUACCUGGUCUUGACAUCCCGGGAAUUCUUAGGAAACUAGGAAGUGCCUUCUUUGAAGGAGCCUGGAGACAGGUGC